CCCGCAGGUGGUCGGAAAACUUCAAGCAGAAGUUUCUAAAGUAAAAUUUCCGCGUCCGGAAAAUUCCGGCGUCGCCAGCCUUUCCGGAUCCCAAGGUUAUUUCGGACAGGACAGGUUAACGGGGUUCUUACGUCACGGCGGUCAGAUGAAAGGGCGCAGGUGAGCAGGUAAGGUAAAUUCUCACCUGUGGGAACUACCCGGAAGUCGUGCAGCUUUGAUCCAGACGCGUCCGUCUAACAACACAGCCAGGAGGUCACAGAUAGAACAGCGGAACGGACGGGCUGCGGUAACCUUGAUCCCAGGUUGACCUUGGGCCUGAGCCCCGGACUGACCUUGGGCCCAAGACUGACCUUGAGCCCCGGGCUGACCUUGAGCUCCAGGCUGACCUUUAGCACCAGGUUGAUCUUGAGCACCUGACUGACCUUGACCUCAGGCUGACCUUGACCCCAUGCCCCCCGGAAGAUGGGGAUUCUGUGCUGCUGUUUCGGCGCGGAGGCUGAGGCCGAGGGAGAGGGGAGAGCGGCGGCGAACGAGAAAACCUCCCUACUUCGCCGCAAGGUCACGGAACCUCCGCUGUCACGUGGCGGAACCGGAAGUGACGCACAAGUGACGUCAGUAAGAUUCAUGAGUAUUAAACGGGCCCGAAGCCGGGAGUCAGUCGCAGAAUCUCCGACUCACGGACAACAAAACGUCCAGGUCUUCCGCGUGCAGGUGCCGCACCUAGACGAGAUGUACAGCGACGCCUGUCAGCUGCUAGCGGAACUGCAGCAGGAGCACCAGAAGCUACAGGAAGGACUGAAGAGGUUCAAAGCGUUGUUUGGCUGCGAUGAAGCCAAGACCCUUUCAGACUGCCUGGUAGAAAUAAACAGCAGACAAAGCGGCACGACGUUCCACCUGAUGUUCUCCAGCGCCCACAGCUUCUCCCUGUGUCCCGAGGGUGACGUUACCGCGCCCCAGGUCACACAGGCCGUGGCCGAGGUCGCCAAUCUUAACCUGGCUCUGAAGGAGAUCAUUAGCCGAGCUCCGAGACUCCAGCUCAGCCUGCAAAGGAUUGUGCGAGAGAAGGAGUCGGACCGGGAACUUGUGGAGCGGGAGCACUGCAACACCUGGGCAGACCGUCAGAGGGCGCUGCUGAACUUUGACAAGAACCUUGCCGUGUUCGAGCAGGGUGUGAGCCGGGUCGGGGAGAUCCGCAGCCGGGCGGAGCAGGUUCUUACGGACGCCAAGGUCGCGGUGGACGGCUAAGAAGGUCACGUGAAGGGCGCGUGAUCGUCACGUGAAGGGCGCGUGAUCGCCUCGUGAUUUAGUCAUGUCAUGCCAACGACAUGAUAAUAAUGAUAACCUUUAUUGCAUAUUCAUGCUAUAAAUGCAAAGAUGAUCACAUGUUAUGUACAACGUGUAAAAUUAAGAAUAAUGUUGCAACACUAUACGAUUGUGGAAAUAUAUUUUGUAGAUUAGUGAUAGCUUCUUCACCCUUUUUAUAACACACGGAUGCAAAGCUAUAUAAAACUUCAUCCAUUACUUUAUAAUGACUAAACGUUGAAUAUCUGACUGGCUUCAACAAAGGAAGAAAAUGUUGAAGAAGAGUUCAAACUAAGGUUUUAGGUUUUAAAGAUGUUUCUCAUUAAGAAAGAAUUCUGUGUUAACUCAUUAUUUUGAGAUAUUACGAGAACCAUUACGAAUGUCUUAUUAAGUGUACUCAUUAUUUUGAGACAUUACAAGAACCAUUAAGAAUUUCUCAUAAGUUAUUCAAUGUACAUGUAAAUGCUACCAUUGUCUAAAAAGUAUUAAGUGUUGUAAUGAAAUACACAAUUCACCAAAAAGGAUGCGAUUUUAACCCGAAUAAAACAAUUUAUUCAUUCAUUCAUUCAACUUGUCUUCAUUACCUUUUUUCUGGUUGAUAAGUAAUCUGCUCAGCCUGCCUUACUCUCUGGGUAUAACCCUGAAAUUUACAUAAAAUUGACUGUUGAUACAAUAUGCAACCUCCUUUAUGAUAAUAAUAUAUAUGUAUGUAUAAUACAAGCCUAGUUUUGUUGUUGUAUUUGAGUACUAGUAUUAAACAGUUAAACCCAAAAACUUUGACACACCUCACAUCACAUUUGGUACUAGUACUCUUCACUGAAAAACACUGAUAGAAUUAGAAAGGUAACAUUUGCAAAGCAAAUGCAUAAUGUUCACCUUCUCAUAUGGUCUGCUCUGUUAAUUCUUACUCAAAUACAUUCAUAUAUAUAGUCAGACAGGAGUAUAAAUCCCUCCUACUGUAAAAUUGCAACAUCUUGUAACCCAACACCAGUUACCAUGGUGAGAGACGUCAACAAAUCAUGAGGUCAUUGGCCAGGUCAGAGGUCAGUGUUUGGAAUGGAAGCCCUGUGACUACUAAAAACUACAUCCAUGAAACAACAGACACGGUAUAUACGAAAAUAGUUUCACCAGGUUGGUUAAGUAUAAGAUAUAGGGGUAAGAGUAGUUACCCCUAUAUCCUAUAGGUAACACAAAGUCAGUUUGCAACAUUUCUCAUGACUGUAUGCAUACAUUAUACAUACAUUGAUGUAGAUCACUGUCUUCAAUAUACAUUAAAUAAAAUUCUAUUUCGAGAUUAUAGAGGCUAACUUUGAUGAAGACAAUACUGUCCUCAAUAUUGCAAUAAACAUUAAAUAAAAUUAUACUUCCAGAUCCUUGAGGCUCUAAUUGUUUCUUUCCACACUUCAAACUAAUUCAACAACAUAUUUCUGAUUUCUUUGACAUGUACAUUAAAUAUAUUAUACAGACAUCAAUGUUAAAACUUUUGUUAAAACUUUGCAGCCCUGAAUGCUGAAUUUUAAGUACAUGAAAACAUUUACAGAUGAAGCAUGCAAAUUUCUAUUAUUUAUUAAUUGGGUGUAGAGGUUGGCAUGUACAGUAAAAGUACAUUUUAUAACUUGAGUAUCUAUGCAAAAGUACAUUUCCUAGUUUGGGCAUGUACAGAAAAGUACAUUAAAUUUUCCUAAUUUGGGCAUGUACAGAAAAAGUACAUUUCCUAAUUUGGGCAUGUACAGAAA
Branchiostoma belcheri (Belcher's lancelet) is the source of this 3038-nucleotide RNA transcript. RefSeq lists it as uncharacterized. The transcript has 7 exons. The record is from RefSeq and is a predicted model, not a curated record. Lineage: Eukaryota; Metazoa; Chordata; Leptocardii; Amphioxiformes; Branchiostomatidae.